UACAGAGGGUGCGAGCGUUGUUCGGAAUUACUGGGCGUAAAGCGUGCGCAGGCGGUCUUUUAAGUCAGAUGUGAAAUCCCCGGGCUUAACCUGGGAACUGCGUUUGAAACUGGAAGGCUUGAGUGUGGCAGAGGGGGGUGGAAUUCCACGUGUAGCAGUGAAAUGCGUAGAGAUGUGGAGGAACACCGAUGGCGAAGGCAGCCCCCUGGGCUAACACUGACGCUCAUGCACGAAAGCGUGGGGAGCAAACAGG
RNAcentral lists this ribosomal RNA (253 nucleotides) under uncultured bacterium. RNAcentral describes it as "partial 16S ribosomal RNA". It matches the Rfam family "Bacterial small subunit ribosomal RNA", at positions 524 to 776 of the family's 1533-position model. The record is from RNAcentral.